Molecule: ribosomal RNA, 253 nt
Filed under: uncultured bacterium
Lineage: Bacteria
Description: partial 16S ribosomal RNA
Rfam family: Bacterial small subunit ribosomal RNA
Source: RNAcentral
UACAAAGGGGGCAAGCGUUGUUCGGAAUUACUGGGCGUAAAGGGCGCGUAGGCGGCCUUCUAAGUCGAACGUGAAAUCCCUGGGCUCAACCCAGGAACUGCGUCCGAUACUGGAAGGCUUGAAUCCGGGAGAGGGAUGCGGAAUUCCAGGUGUAGCGGUGAAAUGCGUAGAUAUCUGGAGGAACACCGGUGGCGAAGGCGGCAUCCUGGACCGGUAUUGACGCUGAGGCGCGAAAGCCAGGGGAGCAAACGGG